UACCCAACCAACCUGUAAUUUGAUUCUUGAAUGGAAUUGAGUCUUGAUAGGCUUAAUAACUAAGAAAUCAGUUUCAUCCAUUUUUUCGGUCCACAAUUUUGAAUCUCAUUUAUAUGUCAUGAAAAGGAAGAAAAUCAUCAAGUCAUGCUCUGGGAAUUCAAAAGAAGAAAGUGAAGGUCCAACCAAACUAGAUAGAUGGCAAUUAAUGUGUUCCCUUACAUGAUCUAUGAUUCUUGAUCCGUCUCUUACACUAUUCUUAUAUUGAAAGUGGAAAUUGUACCAUGUCCAUGUCUUGAUUAUCUGUUCCUCUACAAGGAAAAGUCAGUUCUGCUACAUGUCAAAGGCAUCCACUAGACCCAGUGUGAAAGGAAUAAGACUUCAUAAUCUCUCUCUGAAAAUCAAAAAUAAAGAAAAUCUACCAAGUCAUUGACAUUAUGUUUUUAUUAUCACAGCUUUUAGGGUUUUAAAAACUUCAAAAAGCAAGACAUAAUCAUUCCCACCAAGAUGGAUUUAGUUUUUGCACUGUCUAGGUUAAUUUGGUGCUGCUAUCUUCAAGAACCAAUCAAUGGAACAAGGUUUAGUGGGAGAAUAUGAUGGGAGCACCCAUCUUCCAAACCCUAGAAAUCAUGGGUUUCCAUUGGUUCCCUGGUCACUUUUCUUAUUCUUUGGUUUUAUACUUUCUAUAUAUUACUUCGACUUUAGUGGUUUUUUUAAUUCAACCAUGAAAUGAAUGAUACCUCUCAAAUAUCAUAUCAUCUCUACCUUUGGUUCUACUCCACCACCUUAUCCUUACCAAAUCCAUCUUCCUAAAGUAAACCAAUGUCAGGAACCAUCGAAGUUCCCGAAAACUGGAUAUGCAACAAGAAAAGUCAUGAUUUUUAUACGUAUUUAGGUCACAGGAUGGAUGGAUGGAUGGCUGGCUGGCUUUCUCUCCGCAUCUCUUUAUGUGACAACUUGUCAUUCGACUGUGAGGGCCCAUAUCUUGGAGGGAAAGUAUGUUGUGAGAGGACAAAGGAAGCAACGUCAUUUCCAAGAGAUGGACCAGCAGGGUUAAAUUGUUCUUAAUUGCGUCCAUAAUUCAUGCUUGGCUUUCUCCGCUAUCCAUCGCCUUCAAACCCCACGCAGGUGCAGGGAGAAGGGAUACAUCUUGAAGAAGCGAGCUACUUUUAUGACACUCCUUUCCAUUUCUUUACACCAGUGGGACCCAAACCCUAAUCAGAGAUUCAAAGAUUAAGAACACAGACAUGGGCCUAGAUACUGGGAUCCUAUUCCUGUGUCAGAUGGGGCAUACUGUGAAAAACUGACAAAUAAAAUAGGUGGGGUUGCGUUGUACCAUGACAAUUUUGAGAGUGCCAAUUUUGAUGGCAGGGAGUUGGCAUGCCAUGUGAGAUGAGCUAAUAGCUUGUCAUGAUAGCCUGUUAAGUCGUUGCCCUCUUGAGAUUGACAUGGCUAUGUUUUGUCAAAAAAUGAAACUACUCCCAACAUUUGAGAAUAGUUUUUUUUCAGAAUAAUUCCUCACCUUUUCUGAAGGUGAACAAAAUGCCAAUACAUCCUCUUCUUCCGGCCCUAUGGCUCCCAAAUUAUUCCCACUUGAAAUCUCCCUGUCACAUUGCUUGCCAACAGCAGAAGAAACCCUUUCCUUUCACUUUGAUUUUCUUUACCUCGAAGAAAUGGAAUUUUAAUUAGCUUAAAGAUUUCUAUCAAAAACACUAACAGUAACCUGUUCAAGAAUUUAAGUUAAAUAAUCUUGGCAAGGUCAAAGAACAGUAGCACAAUAAAACCUCAACAAAUUCCUGUGCAUUGCACGUUACAUCAGCAGAUUAAUUAAUACAUCAAUGCUUAUCAGGAGAGGUGAGACACAACUUUUCCUUCUAUAAAAAGGACAUGAUGCGUGGUGUAUGGAGGUUGAAUCUAAUAUCUUAC
RNAcentral lists this long non-coding RNA (1923 nucleotides) under Populus trichocarpa (black cottonwood). Its description in RNAcentral is "long non-coding RNA (PTRI_LNC002958)". The record is from RNAcentral. Lineage: Eukaryota; Viridiplantae; Streptophyta; Magnoliopsida; Malpighiales; Salicaceae.